CAAUAGCGUAUAUUUAAGUUGUUGCAGUUAAAAAGCUCGUAGUUGGAUUUCGGUUAAGAGCGACCGGUCCGCCGUUUGGUGUGCACUGGUUGGUUUUAACUUCCUGUAGAGGACGUGCUCUAGGUUUAACGACCUGGACUCGGAGUCUACGUGGUUACUUUGAAAAAAUUAGAGUGUUCAAAGCGGGCUUACGCUUGAAUAUUUCAGCAUGGAAUAACACUAUAGGACUCCUGUCCUAUUUCGUUGGUCUCGGGACGGGAGUAAUGAUUAAGAGGAACAGUUGGGGGCAUUCGUAUUUCAUUGUCAGAGGUGAAAUUCUUGGAUUUAUGAAAGACGAACUUCUGCGAAAGCAUUUGCCAAGGAUGUUUUCAUUAA
This 375-nucleotide ribosomal RNA is filed under the name uncultured eukaryote. RNAcentral describes it as "partial 18S ribosomal RNA". It matches the Rfam family "Eukaryotic small subunit ribosomal RNA", at positions 592 to 976 of the family's 1831-position model. The record is from RNAcentral.